UACGUAGGGUGCAAGCGUUGUCCGGAAUCGCUGGGCGUAAAGGGCGCGUAGGUGGCGACCCAAGUCGAUGGUGAAAGCUCGCCGCUCAACGGCGAGUCGGCCACCGAUACUGGGUUGCUCGAGCACUGUAGAGGCUAAUGGAAUUCCGGGUGUAGCGGUGGAAUGCGUAGAGAUCCGGAAGAACACCGGUGGCGAAGGCGGUUAGCUGGGCAGUUGCUGACACUGAGGCGCGACAGCGUGGGGAGCAAACAGG
RNAcentral lists this ribosomal RNA (253 nucleotides) under uncultured bacterium. Its description in RNAcentral is "partial 16S ribosomal RNA". It matches the Rfam family "Bacterial small subunit ribosomal RNA", at positions 524 to 776 of the family's 1533-position model. The record is from RNAcentral.